CCAUGCAAGUCUAAGUACAUGCCGUAAUAAGGUGAAACCGCGAAUGGCUCAUUAAAUCAGUUAUGGUUCCUUAGAUCGUACUUUUCUACUUGGAUAACUGUGGCAAUUCUAGAGCUAAUACAUGCAGCAGAGCUCCGACCUUCGGGGACGAGCGCUUUUAUUAGACCAAGACCAAUACGGACUUCGGUUCGUACGCCACGGCGACUCUGGAUAACUUUGGGCUGAUCGCACGAUCUCGCAUCGGCGAUAUUUCUUUCAAGUGUCUGACUUAUCAACUUUCGAUGGUAGUCUAUGCGCCUACCAUGGUCGUAACGGGUAACGGGGAAUCA
Molecule: ribosomal RNA, 329 nt
Filed under: Stylocellus sp. Peninsula 21
Lineage: Eukaryota; Metazoa; Arthropoda; Arachnida; Opiliones; Stylocellidae
Description: SSU rRNA
Rfam family: Eukaryotic small subunit ribosomal RNA
Source: RNAcentral